This is a non-coding RNA of Taeniopygia guttata (zebra finch), 2386 nucleotides long. Lineage: Eukaryota; Metazoa; Chordata; Aves; Passeriformes; Estrildidae. The record is from RefSeq and is a predicted model, not a curated record.
CCAUAGUGGUGAAAGGGUGUGUGUAAGGAAAGAAUUAUAUAUCCCUUAAAAUUACUGUCCUCAUUUAUUAAAUCCUCCAGAUGUGUUUCCUAGACCUUGUCUGUCCCUAAUCAUCUUCUUUUAUGUUCCUUAACAUAACAUUGCUAGAUAGUCAAAGUUUCUAGUGGGAACACUGGCAUGUUUUUGUACCUAAUGUACAAACCACCUGCUCAUCAGAGAUUCACAAAUCCCAUGGAGGCACUUACAUUUGAAAACAAAACUCAGAGUCUGGAGAUCAAAACAAGUAAUGAGCACAUAUGACAGUGUCUUUGCCACAUUAAGUGAUUUUAUCACAUCCUUUGAUUAAAAAAGAACAGCAAGAUCUGACACUGCAGGUAUUUUGCAGCACAUCGCCUGCAGAAAACGGUUUAAAAAGCUGCAUUUCGAAAAACAGCCCAGAUUUUGCUACUUUUUUGAAUUAAUGCUGCAUUUAGAAAUUCUUUAUAACCUAUACAUACAGCUAGUACCAUAGACAUGGGUAGGAAUGGAUCAUAAUAUACAGGACCUGCAAUAAAAAGACCAAAAAAACAACUUCAAUUUGACACAGGAAGAAGAAAAAUUACAUAGCACUGCCAGUGCCUUGGCCCUGCAGGAGUCCAAAGAACUUGCUAAUUGGGAUCCCCAGGCGUUCCCAAGCAGCUGCCCAUUACAACACAAACUACAGCUCCCCCAUGGUCUCUGCCAGACUUGCCAAAUAGAACAGAAAAGGAAAAAGGGGUUUCCCUCCUGAUCUCCAUAUCUGGUAAAACCGGGUAACACACCAAUACACCCAAUCAUCCCCACAAACAAACCCAUCUCUAUUAAUAGCUAAGUUUGAAGCUUCACAAAAAGAUUAACACUGUCAUCCUGGCCAUCACUGUGGCUGAAGGGGGAUACCCUUGUUCUGGCUGUAUAGAGAUGAUAGAACCCCUUACACUGUUAUUCCAUUACUGACUUGCAAUGGGAUGAACACAAAUUAUCAGAGUUCUGGGGAGGAUUUCACUGCUUUUCACCUCUCAUUUCCCCUGAAGUCCUCACCUUCUUAGGAUAUUGUAACUGCUGAUAUGUUCCGCAGUUUCUACUAGACAUACAAAGUUCAUUAAAUACUUGUAUAUUCUCAGACUUUUAUUCUCCUAUUUGUACUUAUUGAUUUCAAUUCUUCUCUACUAUUAUUGUCUUCUCACAACCAAGUUAUCGGCAUGAAAUAUUUUAAACUCAUCUCUGUGAAAGAACCAUGGAAAAGCAAAAUACAUUGCCUUAAAGCUUUGACAGUUUUAUGUAGUCACAAAUGAAUGAUCUGAAAAAAAAAGCAUCCACUAUAAGUAACACUGGGAAAAUUAAUCUCAUUCCAUUGAAAAUAACAGAUUCAAAAGUUAAAAAUAGUCUCCCAAGAAAAAUAAUAUAACUGGGGGUACAAGUUCCCCCUUCUCCUUUGUAUUCAUGAAGUUUAAACUUUCUCUGUAGGUUUAAAUAUCUUUCCACUUGGCUUUUCUUUUUCAGCCCAAAAACCAACAGCACUGAGGUCCCAGUGAUGAGGAAUGAGGAAUGACUCACCAGCAAGUGCUGAGUCACAAUCACACCAAAUACACUCUUACAUCUUGAUGGAGCAUCAAAUUCAAUAGCUUUGCUUAGUCACUUGAGCUUGCCCUAAUUCCUAUGAUUCACUCAAUUUCAAAACUCUGAUUUCUGAUUCCUUGUUUUUUCUUUGCAAUAUAUAUUCCACUGUAUAACUCUUAUACAACUCUUAAAGCAGAAUUGUUGCAAGCCAUCACUAACCCUCAGUCAGAUCACGGGCUUCAGACACAAGGUGGGUCACUUAUCAAAUCCAAGUGGCCAAUACGCCCCAGUGCGCAUUGGAUUAAUUUGGAAGUGCUGAUCUCCCACUCCUUGCACACCCACAAAAAAUUCCAGCUGACAUUGGAAGAUACAUGCAUCAGGAUUUCAUCCUGUCCUGACUCAUGCCAGCAGCAACCUACCAUCAGCUAAAAGUGUGACCUUUCUCUGGGAGGGCUCCUCAGCCUGACAAGGAACAUUGAUGCAGCACAGCUUCUGCGGGCUGAGCAGCUGAGAUUCAUGACCUGAAGGAUUUCUUUUUGUUUCCAAGUGACACAUCAAGUGUGUGAAGAGGGGUUCUCCUUUCCAGCCCAACACAGGGGAGAAGAAAGGGAAAGCAAGCCAGUGGAGUGUGAUUUGGAGUGGAUACAGUGAGAAUCCUAAAUUGGAGAAUACCAUUCCAAAACCAUGAUAAUUUUCAACUAUCUGUACUUCAGCAACUAAUUUUUUAUUAAAAAACCCAGAAGUGCCAAGAAAGUUUUUUAGUUUUUUGGUUUUCCUUAAGAGUAUUAAAUAAAAUUCAAAUAAAUUGAAA